UACGUAGGGUGCAAGCGUUAAUCGGAAUUACUGGGCGUAAAGCGUGCGCAGGCGGUUUUGUAAGUCAGAUGUGAAAUCCCCCGGGCUUAACCUGGGAACUGCGUUUUGAAACUACAAGGCUAGAGUGUGGCAGAGGGGGGUGGAAUUCCACGGUGUAGCAGUGAAAUGCGUAGAGAUGUGGAGGAACACCGAUGGCGAAGGCAGCCCUGGGUUAACACUGACGCUCAGGCACGAAAGCGUGGGAGCAAACAGG
This 253-nucleotide ribosomal RNA is filed under the name uncultured bacterium. RNAcentral describes it as "partial 16S ribosomal RNA". It matches the Rfam family "Bacterial small subunit ribosomal RNA", at positions 524 to 776 of the family's 1533-position model. The record is from RNAcentral.